RNAcentral lists this ribosomal RNA (253 nucleotides) under uncultured bacterium. RNAcentral describes it as "partial 16S ribosomal RNA". It matches the Rfam family "Bacterial small subunit ribosomal RNA", at positions 524 to 776 of the family's 1533-position model. The record is from RNAcentral.
UACAGAGGGUGCAAGCGUUAAUCGGAAUUAUUGGGCGUAAAGGGCUUGUAGGCGGUUAUAUAAGUUAGAUGUGAAAACCCUGGGCUUAACCUGGGACGUGCAUAUAAUACUGUAUAACUGGAGUAUGGUAGAGGAGUAGGGAAUUCCUGGUGUAGCAGUGAAAUGCGUAGAGAUCAGGAGGAACAUCAGUGGCGAAGGCGCUACUCUGGACCAAUACUGACGCUGAGGAGCGAAGGCGUGGGGAUCAAACAGG